AGGUGAUGAUAUUUUUAGGAAGCAGAAUUUGAAUGCCCACCAACUCAAAUGUUGAAGCCUACAAAUAUAUCAUCCAAGCUUUCAUUUAUGAUUGUUCAUGCUUUUAAAUUGUGAUGUCAGAAUUUGAUAAAGUGUGCACUGCUAGGUGUAGGAAAUCAUUGCUUAUUAAAUCUACUCUGUUAUCUAAUAGCACCAAACUAAUAGAGCUAUCACAUAACUGAGAAACUUGUGUGGCUUAUUAUAAAUGGAUGAAACCACAUUUUACCUUAAUGAAGACAGUAAUCUUUAAUAAGGUGUAGAAAAAAAGAGGUGAGUUGUUUGUUGCUGUGGUAAACAAAGAAGUGUACUGAAUCUUUUGGACUACACAGAGUGAUGCAGUAUUGAUUGUGAUGCUGAUUUGAGUUGUUUCAUUCUGUGUUUUUGUGCUUUGUCUUUUGUUACACAGAGUGAAAGAAAUCUUUGGUUUUGCCUUUGCUGACUGCUGAUCUGAUCGUCUCAAGUCUGGACUUGGAUGAGAACAAGAUUUAUGCCAAUCCCGAGGUAACUGCAGCGCUCCAAACCAUGAGACAAGCCAGCGUUGAGGAAAUGAUGCCUCUUCUUCAGGUCAGAGAAACAGCCAGCAGACCUGACACUCUUACACUGAUCCAUCACAAUACGGAAGGUUUGCCAUCUCACAUCAGUGACAUCAAGAGUCAUCAUGAAAUGUGUUUAGCAGAUGUUUUGUGUCUCACAGAGUCUCACCUCCAAGGCUCCUUUGUUGCAGACAGUCUUCAUUUGGACGGCUACACCAUGUUCAAACGCAACAGACAUGUGUCCUACACAAACUUUCCUCACAUGGCCAGCAGAAGUGGUGGUGGAGUUGUUGUGUAUUUGAGGAAUCAUUUUCAGGUUCAGACCUCCAGACUACAGUUUGGCACCGUUCAUGCAAAACCUGCCACAGCAGAAUCUUCAUUCAGGUGUCCUGAGGACAUAUUACAGUUACCACAACCCUGUGUUUUGUGUCCUGUCCUCCAGCCAAUCAUGAAGUUGUCUGACAGGGCACACACAGUCCUGUUUCCUUUGUGGGAAAACCUUCAAACUUCACCAUCCUCAGCUGAAACAACAACAUCUUAACACCAUCUUCAUGAACUGCUGAGCCAAACCUGAUCCAUCAGUGCUGGACUGCACAGAUAACUACAUGCCACAAGGAGACUGCUGUUUUAUGAACUGCCAUACCAGUGUGUCUUCAAUGGAGAAGAUGACACACCCAUCACCUGACCUCCUGCCUGAUCUGGAGACCAUCAUCAUGCUGCCACACUACACACCUCUGAGACCAUCAAUGAUGACUCAUACUGAGGAAACUGUAUUUGCUGUCAGAAAUGCUCAGUGAUCCUCAGAGCAGAGAGAGGUAUUGCUGUCUUCUGAGUUCUUCAGUGUCCCAACUGAGACAUUCAAACCUCAUCACAGAGCUCCUGUCUUUCCUCACCAUCAUGUGAGUGUGAGAUUGCUCUGGAUUCUGGUUAUGUGGCCUGCAGCACCUAUAAGAACAAGCUCGUCCUGUGUGCCUGCAUUCCAGCUUCUUAGACUCUACGCAAGUGGACAGAGUAUCAGUGUUUGGCCACCCUUACAGACACCGACUUCUGUCAACUCACUGCUACUGAUCAGGCACCUCACUCCAGGAAGACAGAGGGCUGCAAGCCUGUCAUCGCUUCCAGUGUGGCUUUGUAUUCUUGGGGUAGUAUCAGAUUUUUCCCACAAAUAUUCAAAGAUUUAUAUGCAGUGAUCGGAUGUGGUGGAGCUUUGUUAACUGUGUGGAAAACAUCUGUUUGUGAUUAUAUUUACAAUGAGGCUUUAAGGUGACAGUUUCCAUGUAAUUUCAAUCCUUUUACUAAGCAAAAACAUGUUUGUAAUUAACAUAUUUUUUUCAGUUUUGUCUUUUGGAUUUAUGGUUAACAUUCCUCUGUGACAGCAAAUACUAAACUGGUCCAAGUAACCAGCAUAUCAUUGGUCAAAGGCAAAAGGACCACAUGUCACACUAGCAAUGAAUUGUUGACUGUGUUUGUGUCACCAGAUUUAACAAACAAUAUCAGACAUAUGAAACUGAACUCUGGAUUAAUGUGCAGAUGUUUUUUGUGUUUUUUUUUUAUUGUUGAAUAAUUAUUUUGUAGGACAAACCCAAUCUAUUUACCCAAACAAUGUAACUUGUUUGGGUAAAUAGUGGAUUAAUAUAUCUAAGUCUAUAAGUAUAGCAAGCUGAAUUCAUACAAACACACAGCUCUAAAUCUUGAAUUGUAGGAUGUACAAAAAUGAUCAUGUGAUUAUUAUGGACAUUGAAAUAACUAUAUCUAUUGAACCAUUACACAUAUUCUUUAUAGAAAUUACACAAUC
Oreochromis aureus is the source of this 2367-nucleotide long non-coding RNA. The record is from Ensembl. Lineage: Eukaryota; Metazoa; Chordata; Actinopteri; Cichliformes; Cichlidae.